UGGGGAAUAUUGCACAAUGGGCGCAAGCCUGAUGCAGCCAUGCCGCGUGUAUGAAGAAGGCCUUCGGGUUGUAAAGUACUUUCAGUCGGGAGGAAGGUGUCAAGGUUAAUAACCUUGGCAAUUGACGUUACCGACAGAAGAAGCACCGGCUAACUCCGUGCCAGCAGCCGCGGUAAUACGGAGGGUGCAAGCGUUAAUCGGAAUUACUGGGCGUAAAGCGCACGCAGGCGGUUGAUUGAGUCAGAUGUGAAAUCCCCGGGCUUAACCCGGGAAUUGCAUCUGAUACUGGUCAGCUAGAGGCUUGGAGAGGGGGGUAGAAUUCCAUGUGUAGCGGUGAAAUGCGGAAAGAUGUGGAAGAAUACCGGUGGCGAAGGCGGCCCCCUGGGCAAAGACUGACGCUCAGGUGCGAAAGCGUGGGGAGCAAACAGG
RNAcentral lists this ribosomal RNA (429 nucleotides) under Chloroflexota bacterium. RNAcentral describes it as "Chloroflexi bacterium partial 16S ribosomal RNA". It matches the Rfam family "Bacterial small subunit ribosomal RNA", at positions 355 to 776 of the family's 1533-position model. The record is from RNAcentral. Lineage: Bacteria; Bacillati; Chloroflexota.